RNAcentral lists this long non-coding RNA (1230 nucleotides) under Homo sapiens (human). RNAcentral describes it as "small nucleolar RNA host gene 17, transcript variant 52 (SNHG17)". The record is from RNAcentral. Lineage: Eukaryota; Metazoa; Chordata; Mammalia; Primates; Hominidae.
AGUCCUUCGCCGUCCCUCGCCGUCCUUCGCCAUCGCACGCCACCGCACCCCAUCUCUCGAAAUCUGCAGACAUCUUGAUUUUUCCCACGCUGUCUGUCAGGUCUCCGCCGCCACUCGACGCCAGGGCGCCGGGUGAGUCCACAGCAGGGCGCAUGGUCGGCUCCACUCUCACCAUCGGGGGAAACUGAGGCCCCGGGGAAGGCGGCCAGAGAGGUCAGGCCCUGUCCUUGGUGCAGUGUCUCGUCCUCUUUGCCGGAGUGAGCCCCCCAGGAUUCGCGUGUCCUCGGGAAAGACACUGGCAGGCCUUGUGGGCUGUGCUGCACCUCGGACGGCUUCGCACCAGCCAGCGCCCUCUCUCUCCUGCAGCACUCUGAUCUGCACCCCCUGAGGGGCUUCCACUGUCCGCGGGGUGAGAAUGCCCCUGGGAGUGUCACAUGACUGCCGCCCCAUGUGUGUGAGAGGCGUCCUCUGGGAGAGCAUGGAUCCUGAGGUCCCAGGAACAUCCCGAGAGCCAAGUUCCCAGAUGCCAGCCAAGGGCCAUCUGACCUGUUUUGAAUCUCAAUUUCCUGAUACAGAAAACAAAGGAUUGUCAGCUGACCUCUGUCCUGUGUGCCCAGUGGCCCCAGGUGACGUGUCUUCAAGAAGAGGCUGAGCUGCGGUGCUUGUAAGAGUCAUGUGCUGUUCCUGGGGCUUGGAUGAUGUAGGGGAAGCAAGGUGAAAGUGGUAUCCCGUGGUUCCACGUUCUGUCCUGCUGUGGGGCUGUCCCUCACAUGCUUUCAGUGGCUGUUGCAGAGGAAGAGCCUCCGGAAAUCUGCGUGGGUAAAGUCUCAGCCUUAGAUCCAAGGACAGUCCAAGGAAGUCCUAAGACCAUGGAGUUGGUGAUCUGGGAUCUGGGUUUGCUGAUAUUUCUCACCGUGAAUCUCUUGGUGGUGUUUGUGGGCACGAGAGGGGCAGAGAAUGGAGAGUGAGGCUACCACAUGAAGCGUCACCAGAGCUGCUCCCUGCUGCCUGCUCAGAGCACCCCGGAUCCACUGUUCAAUCUGCACAAGAUUCGGGGUCCAGACAUGGGAGACUUCAGCUGCCUCAGAGGACCGUGGACAGGGAAGGCCAGCCUCGCAUCCCUCUGUCCAUGCCUGGAAUGACUUUAAUAACCAAGAGUUUUAUUUUUGAAUUUGUAGCUGUCGUUCACUUUUUACCCACCCAUUCAAUAAACCUUACAGAAUUGCUCCA